RNAcentral lists this long non-coding RNA (164 nucleotides) under Chinchilla lanigera (long-tailed chinchilla). RNAcentral describes it as "lncRNA (ENSCLAG00000024399.1)". Lineage: Eukaryota; Metazoa; Chordata; Mammalia; Rodentia; Chinchillidae. The record is from RNAcentral.
UUUAUAUCCUAUUUUAUACUAACAUCCACUUUUUUGAUGUCUUUUAUUAAUUUGAACACUAUAUGCAUAUUUACUGCAAAAUUCAAGUCAUCUGUGAAAUCUCUGAGAUUCUAUGCGGUGACUAUCAUUUAGGAACUCACACAAUUACUUAUGGAUGUUUGUGA